This 406-nucleotide ribosomal RNA is filed under the name uncultured bacterium. RNAcentral describes it as "partial 16S ribosomal RNA". It matches the Rfam family "Bacterial small subunit ribosomal RNA", at positions 29 to 526 of the family's 1533-position model. The record is from RNAcentral.
AUUGAACGCUGGCGGCAGGCCUAACACAUGCAAGUCGAACGAGUGGCGGACGGGUGAGUAAUGUCUGGGAAACUGCCUGAUGGAGGGGGAAAACUACUGGAAACGGUAGCUAAUACCGCAUACCAUCAGAUGUGCCCAGGUGGGAGUAGCUAGUUGGGGGGGUAAAGGCUCACCAAGGCGACGAUCCCUAGCUGGUCUGAGAGGAUGAGCGGCCACAAGGGAACUGAGACACGGUCCAGACUCCUACGGGAGGCAGCAGUGGGGAAUAUUGGGCAAUGGGCGAAAGCCUGAUGGAGCAAUGCCGCGGGUAUGAAGAAGGUCUUCGGGUUGUAAAGUACUUUCAUCGGGGAGGCGUUACCUGAAGAGAAAGCCCCGGCUAACUCCGUGCCAGCAGCCGCGGUAAUUC